GCCAGCCAAGCGGUGCGGAUCCGCCGGGCUGCAGGAAGAACUAACUUGAUACAUGGAAUAGAAAUGCACUCCAGGCAUGCUGGGAUACAGAGGAAAACUAUGUGCCCAUGGAGGUGAUUCCUACAAGAAUUUACUGAGGAGAGGGAUCUGGUGAGCAAUCCAGAAAAAGGGUUCUAGGUUCCUUCCUGAGGGUUCCUCACAGGCCGCCUUCAGAGACGGAGGAGGCAGCAUCCACGAAAUAAGCCCAAAUCUGUGCCUCUUCCACACGAACAUUGCACACACUGUUCUAGAACCUGGUGUGGCUCCACAAGGAAGAGCCCCUGCUAGGCGAGCAGCCACACAGAAUGCAGGUAUGCCUGGGCCCUGAGAAGGAUGGCUUUGCCUUUUGGCCUGGUCUUUUGUUGGCUGGCAAGCAUUUUGUUUUCCAGAGAGGAGCCUUCACUCAUCUUGAGUAGGGAAGAAUGAGCCAGGGCCUGUGAGGCACAUGGAGAUACUUGUCUGAAGGAUUUGGCUGGCUCUUAGAAAUCACCGCUCAGAUGCCUGAAGCAGAGGCAGAAACACCUGCAGUGG
This 570-nucleotide long non-coding RNA is filed under the name Cricetulus griseus (Chinese hamster). Its description in RNAcentral is "lncRNA (ENSCGRG00015032954.1)". Lineage: Eukaryota; Metazoa; Chordata; Mammalia; Rodentia; Cricetidae. The record is from RNAcentral.